AACACCGUCGUCGUCGCCUUCCCGAAGCCCACCGUCAUCGUCGCUGCCUUCCCGAAGCCUGCUGCCGUCAUCAUCGCGGUCGUCAGCGACGGAUCCGGCCUCCCCGCGGUGGCAAGUCACGGAUCCGGCAUCCCAGAGGUGGCAGGCCAUGGAUCCGGCCUCCCCACGGAGGCUGGCGAUGAAUCCGGCAUCCCCGAGGUGGCAGGCCACGGAUCCAGCCUCCCCGAUGCCACUGUCGUAGCCCUCGAUGCCGCCGCCUCUGCCGCCCUAGCCGACGGUGCCGCAGUCGCCAAGGACAAGAGGAAGAGGGAGAGGGCGAUGGGAGGAGGGGGAGCCGUAGUCGAUGCCGCCGCCUCUGCCGCCCUAGCCGAGCACGCCGCUGUCGCCGAGGACUCGAGGGAGAGGGAGAAGUGUGGGAGGAGGAGGAUGAUGAUAAGUGUGGGAGGAGCCGCGUGGAGGGAGCCACUUUAUUUUCGUGGGGUGGACUAUUUUCGUGUGCGGGUCUGUUAAGUGGCCAACA
This 520-nucleotide long non-coding RNA is filed under the name Oryza sativa tropical japonica subgroup. RNAcentral's name for it is "lncRNA OsCMeo_06g0026130". The record is from RNAcentral. Lineage: Eukaryota; Viridiplantae; Streptophyta; Magnoliopsida; Poales; Poaceae.